AGUGAACGCUGGCGGUAGGCCUAACACAUGCAAGUCGAACGGCAGCACAGUAAGAGCUUGCUCUUACGGGUGGCGAGUGGCGGACGGGUGAGGAAUACAUCGGAAUCUACUUUUUCGUGGGGGAUAACGUAGGGAAACUUACGCUAAUACCGCAUACGACCUACGGGUGAAAGCAGGGGAUCUUCGGACCUUGCGCGAUUGAAUGAGCCGAUGUCGGAUUAGCUAGUUGGCGGGGUAAAGGCCCACCAAGGCGACGAUCCGUAGCUGGUCUGAGAGGAUGAUCAGCCACACUGGAACUGAGACACGGUCCAGACUCCUACGGGAGGCAGCAGUGGGGAAUAUUGGACAAUGGGCGCAAGCCUGAUCCAGCCAUACCGCGUGGGUGAAGAAGGCCUUCGGGUUGUAAAGUCCUUUUGUUGGGAAAGAAAAGCAGCAGGUUAAUACCCCGCUGUUCUGACGGUACCCAAAGAAUAAGCACCGGCUAACUUCGU
Molecule: ribosomal RNA, 491 nt
Filed under: uncultured bacterium
Lineage: Bacteria
Description: partial 16S ribosomal RNA
Rfam family: Bacterial small subunit ribosomal RNA
Source: RNAcentral